UUAAUAUGUGUUCCUCAUCAUUUACAGAUCACAGGUUUGGUAAACCAGCUUUCAAAACCAGCAGGCCAAGUGGUGGUCAGGUCAGCCCAUAAGGCUAUUUCCAUUCCUUCCUUUUCCACCAACCUCACUCCUUGCUGUCCCUUCCCACACCCUAUACUUCAUCAAUUUUCUUCUUUAAUCCCAGACAUUCUUUUUUACCUUCUUGUCAUGAUUUCAUCAUUUCUAACCUCUUCCCUUCCCACAAACCUUCCAAUCCCCUCCCUAUUUUGCCCUUCUACACACCAAUUUCCAAACCUUCUCAACUUUUCACCUCUACCUCUCACACUUUGCUACCCUCCAACUCCCUCUCUCUCCUUUCCUUGCAAAUCCAAUUUUACCCCUUUCUCUCUCCCCCCCCCCUUUAUUAGCUUUUCCUUUACAUCAAACCUUUCCAAACCCUUCUUUCCACUUACCACCCCAUUCAUUCACCUUCUCUUCCUUCUCACCCCUUAUGGCCUUCCCACCUUAUCUUCCAAACUUGCCCUUUUUUUCUGGCCUUCAUGUUCUUCCAUCACUUCUACACCCCUCAAGCUCUCAAAUCUUUUUCUAUUCCCUUCCCUUUCUGACUAAUUCCUCACCAUCACACCUUUUCCCAUCCUUUCUCACCCCCUUCCAACCUCAUCUCCUAUGUUCUGUUGGUUGGGAUGUCAUGGGAAAGAUGGUGUGAGAAGGAACGGGACGGGAAGGAAGGGUGGGUUCCUAACCUUCCCGACUCUUUUCACAUCAUCUUUCUCAUCCCACAUCUUUGCGCCUCUCCUGACCUCUUUUUCCUAACAUUAAGGAAAGAGGGUGUCAGAAAGAGAUGUAGAGAGGUGGGGAAGAAUAGAGCUCAGAUGGGAGGGGGAAGGGGUGGAGGGGUUGAGAUGGGAAGGGACCCACUCUCCCUUCCCAUUCUAACCCUCUCCGCCUCUUUCACCCCUUCCGUCUCUUUUCAUCCUUUUCUUCACAUACCUUCUCUACGUCCUCCUUUCCUUUCCUUUCUUCUCUUUCCUCCCUUUUUUCUCCUUUCCACCUCUUCUCUCUCCACCCUUCUUCUUCCUUUCCUACUUCUUUGCUUUCUAUCCCCAUACUCCCACCACUCCUUCUUUCUCUCCUCCACCAUUUCUUCGUUCCCACCCUUCCGGUUUGGCCCAGCUUCCGUCUCUUCCUUUGACCCUUCCUGCCAUCCUCGUCUUACUCUUUCUCUUCCAAAUGUCAUAUGAUAACUAGGAAUAAGGCUUUAGUGUUGGUGCCGCACUUCUUCUCCCUGCACGAGUCGAGCUGAUGUAAACAGACUGUCAGAAGGUGGAAUGGGUAACAGUGGGGAUGAGUUAGCGGUUGCGGCGGCGACACAGUAGUCAGCCUCUGGCGGUACUGGACUGUCGGAUGGACAAAAGGCCAAGAAGCCCCACCACCGUUUAUCUCUCAUGUGAACCUCGGACCGCUUACGUCACGACAGACAUAGCGCAGGGUCAGGUCGGACUGCGGGACUAUCACAGAGUGCUCCUCGCUUCAUCAUCAGCAGCUGUCUGGUCGCAGACAGCAGAGCUCGAGGCUGGUAGAUAAGCGUUGGUCCUCAUUAGGCGUGGUCAAGCUCUGACCGCUGUUACGGCCUAAGAGGUGAGGACGAGACACGUGGUGACACAUGGCAGUGCCAGAGUCUCUGCGCUCAUGAUGGGGGCCGCUACGAUCGACGGGGUGACAUCAAAGGACAGAGGCUGGUAGAUAAGUGUUGGUCCUUGUCAGGCGCUGUUAAGCUUGAGACAGCAGUCCGGCCUACAGGACGAGACAGACACAUGGUGGCACACGGCAGUGCCAGAGUGCACAACGUUUCAUCAUCAGCAGCUGUCUGGUCGCAGACAGUAGAGCUCGAGGCUGGUAGAUAAGCGUUGGUCCUCAUUAGGCGUGGUCAAGCUCUGACCGCUGUCACGGCCUAAGAGGUGAGGAUGAGACAUGUGGUGGCAGAUGGCAGUGCCAGAGUCUCUGCGCUCGUGACGGAGGAUACGACAACUUGACAAGAGAUUUGUGUGAAGAUAUAAGUGGCGAGUGUAUGUUACACAAGUGUAGUGUGCUAUGUGUACAGGUAAUUAGUGGCUCAUGAUACCUGGACUAGGCAUAGGGAAGUAACGGGACACCUAGAGAGCGGCCCUAUUUGAAAUUGUAUAAUCAUAUAAAUUGAGUUGUCAGCCUCUCGAUCAUUAAUAACCUUCUUUAUCACACUAAAUUGCCUUGUGUUGGUUAUUGGGUAUGCGCGCUGGUGGCUCAAGAGUCAAGUGUAAUUAGCAAUCUUGUGUAAGUGUGCGUGUACGGUAAAUGUCGGAGUUGGUAGAGGUGUCGAGAGUGUGAUUAGCCCGAGGCAACGGCAAUCGCAACCUCUGACCAUCUUCACGUGCUCAUUCCCCGAAGUUCACGACAAUUGCGAGCAGCAAAGAAUCGUUGUCUACACACUGGGUUCUCGAGGAAUAAAAUUGUAAUAGAGAUCUCUUCAAGGCUGUUCAUAUUCUCCGUUGUGAGUUGUCUUGGAAUCGGGACUGCUCCAGCACAACUGACUCAAUAGGUGCAUAAGACCCGCUCAGUCACAGAGUGCACAACGCUUCAUCACCAGAGUAACUGUUUGGUCGCAAACAGUAGAGGCUGAGGCUGGAAGAUAAGUGUUGGUCCUUGUUAGGCGCUGUUAAGCUUUAGACAGCAGUCCGGCCUAAAGGACGAGACAGACACAUGGUGGCACACAGCAGUGCCAGUGCUCAUCGCUUCAUCACCAGCAGCUGUCUGGUCGCAGACAGUAGAGCUCGAGGCUGGUAGAUAAGCGUUGGUCCUCGUUAGGCGUGGUCAAGCUCUGACCGCUGUGACGGCCUAAGAGGUGAGGAUGAGACACGUGGUGACACACGGCGGUGCCCGAGUCUCUGCGCUCGUGACUGAGGCGGCUACGAUCGACGGAGGAUAUGACAACAUGACAAGAGACUUGUGGGAAGAGAUAAGUGGCGAAUGUGUGUUCGACAAGUUCUUGUGCUGUGUGUAGUAGUAAAGGUAAUGAUACCUGGACUAGGCAUAGGGAAGUAACGGGACACCUAGAGAGCGGCCAUAUUUGAAAUUGUAUAAUCUUGUAAAUUGAUUUGUAAACCUCUCGAUCAUUAAUAGCCUUCUUUAUUACAAUAAAUUGCCUUCUGUUGGUUAUUGUAGAUGCGCGCUGGGGGCUCAAGAGUCAAGUAAAGUAUAAUUAGCAAUUUAGUUUAAGUGUACACGUACGGUAAAUGUCGGAGUGAGUUGGUAGAGGUGUCGAGAGUGUGAUCAGCCCGAGACAACGGCAAUCGCAACCUCUGACCGUCUUCGCGUGUUCAUUCUCCUGAGUUCACGACACCGGGUUCCAUUACUUUCUGCCGGUUCCAAUCGCUAUCUUCCUUUCCAGUCCUCUUCCUACCCGCCCGUUUCUUCCUACCUUUCUUUUCUACUCACUACUUUCUCACCCCUUUCCAACCUCUUUCCUGCACUUCACGUUUAUCUCCCCCUAUCUUUUGUCUCCUCCUUUUCACCUUCUUUCUAUAUCCCUUCUCUUCCCUCUCACUCUUUCCUUCUCAAUUUGCUUCCCUUUGGUCCAGCUCUUUUCUGGACUCUCCUUUCCUGUUCUCCCACCCUUUGCAACACGUUCAUCUCUUUUUUCUGUUCUCCUCUAACACUUUCAUCCACUUUCCUAACCACUUCUUCCUUUCCCUUAUUUUCAUGUCCCUCCUCUUCCCUCAAACACGUUAGUCUCUUUCCUCCCUUCCUACCCUUUCUACUUUCCCUCUGUUCUCUCUUAACCUUUCUCUCAGUUUCCCCUUCACCUCUCAAGAGUGUGGGGCUCUACUGCUGGGGGAAGCAGCCACCAACGUCGCCACCUAAUGUUGCACGUGACUACGACUAUCAACUGACCCCAACAACAGAUGGGUAGGAGAGGACAGUGACUUUGUCCACCAAGACAUCAACGAUCACCUGACACGGAUUAUGGUGGUCAGUGACCACGUCGAGUAAAGCAGCAGCGGCUACCAGGAUAUACUUACAGGUUUCUCGCUACUCCACCAACUCUUUCUCGACUAAUGAGACUGGAUUAAAAAACUGGCGUGACCACCACUGCCAUCAACGUGGCCAGCUCAUGUUGCUCGGUGAUUACGACUAUCACACCAUCGACCUCAACAACAGCUGGCUAGGAAAGGACGACGACUGCGCCGAACAAAGCAACGGCGGCUACCCAAGGGAUGUAUUCCUUUCCUAUUCCUUGCACUGUUUUCCUUCCUCUCUCUCCUUCCUAUCCUUUGGUACAUCGCAAACAAUCUUUUCAAAACAAUUUGUAUUUCGUUCCCCUAAGUGGCACCCAGGUGGUAUCUUAAAUCUUAACCAAUAACAAAAACUAAGAGGGCUUAAAAAAUCUCAAAAACCAAUAAAAUGUCAAAAUUAGAUAUAUAAACUUUAAUUUUUUUGUUAAUUUAUGAAACAGAAAUGAAUUAGAUGCAAAAAUGCAAACGUUAAGGGCCUAAAAAAAUCUUUCCGUUUUGUGGUUGAUAAAAAUAUAUUAAAACCUUUGAAAUUAACACAAAUCUGAACGAAAAUAUGAGUAAACACGAUGCCUUGCUAGUAGGUCUGGGUCCACCGCUUUCCGCACCAAGUGGUGUAAAAUGGCGGGAGCCGAAGCCAUAUGGCAUCUGGAACUAUAUAUAUAUAACCAAUAAGAGUUAUAAACAUAAGGGUAACAAAAUGCUUAUGUAUAUAUGUGGUUGCAAAGAAAUUCAUAAAACCUUUGAGGGGAAAAUGUGAAUAAUGGCGAGAGUGGCAGCCACAUGGCAUCUCCAUGAAAAGUUGAAAACUUACAUGGCUUACAAAAGGCUUGUCCAUUUAUGUGGUUAAAAAAUCAGAGCAUCUCACACAACCAAUACAAGUUUGAAGCUGUAAGAGCGCUUGCAAAAACUUGGCGAUUUAUGUGUCGAUAAAGCAAAUCGUUAAAUACUUACAAAAACAAAACUAUGUGAAACAGAAAUGAGAAGAUGCCUCUACUUCGCCAUUAAGUCUAUGUCAACAACUGCCCACACAAAGCGAUACAAAAAUGGCGGGAGUGGCAGCAAACUGGCAUCUCAAGGUUUUAAUCAUUGAUUGGUUUUAAGAGGCAACAAAGUGCUUAUCCCUUAUGUGGUUAAUCAUUUUUUUUUUAAAACUUACAAAAUGAUCUCUAAAACGGAGAUGAAUAAGAUGCUUGCACUUUGCCAUGCUAGAAGGUCUGUGUCGACCGCUUCCUGCACUAAUGGCGAAAGCGGCGGUCACAUGGCAUCUGGAACUAUCCAAUACGAGUUAUAAACAUAAUGAGCAACAAAAUACUUAUGCGUAUGUGUGGUUGCAAAAAAGAAAAUCACAAAACCUUUGAGGGAAAAGUCUAUAUAACAGGAAUGAUACGGUGCCUACACCUUGUCAUGAUAAGUCUGUGUCGACUGUUUCCCACACCAUGCAAUGCAAUAGGGCGCCAUUUUGCAUUGCUUGGUGUGGGAAGCUGCAGCCAACUGGUAACUUCUUGUAGGAUAACGGAUGUACGUCACAGGUCUCUGGAUGCUAUUUGAACAGAGGCGAGCGAAGGUCACCUCAAGUACGAGUGAUUGUUCAGAGGGGAGUACAAGGUGGGGCGUGAAGCUGUGUGCGUUAAAGGGAUAUUAUAGUUUGUUUGCUGUUGUGUUUUCGUUUUUUGGUUUUUGUUUUUUGUUGUUUUUUUGCUUCUUUUGUUGUUGUUUUUGGACUGUUUUAUAUAAGUGUCGGGUAUGGAGCAGCGAGCAGACGGAGGGCGAGUGACGUCACCGUUUGUGUUUAGCUCCGCCUACAGGUCCGCCAUUUUGUUAUGGUCGUCAAGAGUUACGCGAUAAGAAAUAUGCACUCAAACCAAUAAAGAGUUAAAAACAUAAAGGGGUAACAAAAUAUUUGAAUUAGAAGCAAAAAUGCAAACAGAAAGAGACACAAAAUCCUUCCGUUUUGUGGUUCAAGGUUGAUUAAAAAAAAAUCCAUUAAAAUCUGUAAAGACCGCUUCCCGCACCAAGCAAUUCAAAAUGGUGGAAGCGGCUGCCAACUGCAUCUCAAACUAAACAAUAAAGAGUUAUAAACAUGUGGUUGCAAAAAAAAAACAAAAACUCAUAAAACCUUUGACAGAGAGUUUUACUAAAUAUGAAUGAAUACGAUGCCUACACUUCGCCAUGCUAGUAGGUCUGGAUCGACCGCUUCCCGCACCAUGUGAUGAAUAAUGGCGGGAGCGGCAGACACAUGGCAUCUGGUACUAACCAAUGAAAAGUUAAAAACGUAUUUUUUAUGGUUAUUUUUAAGGUCUUAAUAAAAUUACUUAUCACAUUAAUGGAGAAGCCUACUGCGCUGUGCAAGGUCCGUGUCCAUCUCUUUCCUCCCAAGACGAUACGAAAUGGCGGAAGCGGCAGCCGUAUAGCAUGUCUAGCUAUCCACUCAAAUAUUAACUUACAAGGCUAGGUUCUAUAUUCAUAACAAAAAAUUUUGAAAUAGCAAUAGAUUAAAUGAAAAAUUGCAAACGUAAGAGGCUUAAAAUGGUACAUAUUUACAUGGAUGACAAAAUAAAUCCCUUAGAAAAAUAUGAACAAGAAAUGAAGAAGAUGCCUCCACCUUGCCAUCCUAGUCAAUCUGUCGAUCGCUUUUCGCUUACCAAAUGAUGCGAAAAUAGCGGGAGAGGCAACCACAUGGCACUUCAAGGUAACCCAUGCAAAGUUAAAAAACUUAAUAGGCUUUCGAAAUGCUUAUACAUUUAUUUGGUUAUAAACCCUUAGAAACAAACAAUAUUUUAAACAUAUAAAAAUUACAAAUGAAUGAGGUGAUGAUCCAUUGUAGAAGGUGUCAUCAAAAAUGGUGCAACAAUGUCGGGAGCGGCAAUCACAGGGUAUCUUGAACUGGCCAAUUAAAAAUUAAAUGUUGGGGACAUCGUCUAGAGAUGCUAGGCAGAGCACAUUAACCAGAGGAACGAAAAGUACUAGCAGUGGGUCACGUGGCACCCUGACCAUGCCUACUAUGCCACAAUGUCCGUCUGGUUAAUAGUCGAACCCUAAGUUUGGUGCAAUGUAUGUGAGUAACUUGGGACACUUGGUACCUCGAUCUUGCGCGUGAUAAGGCACGAUAACCACAUCGAUUCUGUCACGUGGCCCAGUUUUUAUGUAAAUUUUUAUGUAAAUGUUAACAGACUGUUCUUUUGUGAAGUUGGUACCGCGGACUUUUUCUUUGGUUGUUCUGUGCAAUCUUGCUACACAAAGGUUUGUGCGCUUCAGCUGUCCACGUCUACCGACCUUAAUUAAUACACGUGGCCUCUGACCGAUAAUCUGUGAAAAAUGUCAACCAUCUUUGCAGUGUCAUAGAUAGUUGUUAUAGUUUCAAGAUUAGUUGCUUGGUGCCUUUGGGGUAACCCUUCUCAUUUUUUUUCUGUUUCAUCCGAGACGUCUAUUCAACAAAACUGCGGCCAAGAAAGUGGAUUCACGUGGACGGCUGAGGAAACAUAAGAUGAAAAUUGCAAUACAUCGGUGGUUUGGAGAUCAUUCGGGGACAAACUCUGCCGACAAGAGGAAUAAAGAAACUGCAAUGGAAGGAAUGGAAAACCAGUCCAGUCAAUUCUACAAGGGAACAAAAGGAGGACAGCGUGUAUCUUCUGAGGGGAAACCUAUCAUAGUGGCCACUAUUCAUCGGACAAAGUUCCGUGACGUCAUCCCAUUCCUCUGGUAUCAAGUAUACAGAUGCCAGGACAAACAUGAGAAACUUUACAUUUUUGGCGUGGAACUGAGAAUUGUGAGAGGAUGUAGUUAGCACUGAGUUUUCUCUGUGCGAGUUGUCUAAGUAGAAUUAUUUGGUUUUUACACUGUGUUGGAGAGUAUUCGUGUUAUUUGUGACCUGACCAGAACUAGCUUUAAAAAAAAAACUAACAAAGAAGAAGAACAGAGAAGCAGACAGCGGGCACUUCAGUAAAAGACGAGAUGCCCAUGGACAGGUCGUUGUUUUGUGUUGUUGAAAGAACGCGUGUGGACGCCGUGUGUGUGUGUGUGUUGCUCUUGUGAGAGUAGCGUCCGUGACAGUCACGUCUCAGUCACGUGAUCGACAGACUCUUUUAAAUGAAGUGUUCUCAACCAACUGCAGUUUCUGGCACAUCCAAUAGUCAGUUAAAAAUAGGAAAACUUACAAAAGACAUCAGACCAUGAAAACUUUUUAUUGGCUCUCUUUUUGAAGCUAUUUGAUAGUUCACUGUCUGUGUUUCACGGUGUUCAUGAACCCAGUAGGACUGUAACAUCCUAAAUAAGCCUAAAAUGACGUCAUGCUGCAUCAUUUUGCAUAAUAACGUCAUGCACACGUCAUCCAUUGCAAAAGAAGUGGAGAAUAGUCUGCCCCAGCAUGUCGUCUGCAUUGAGGCAAGUUCAGUAAGGUGAGGGACUUCCUAUUCCAGAACCUCCAGCAGAAUAUUCUCUUGAUUCAGCUGAUGAUAACGAGGGUGGGCCGACCUGUUCUUCUCCUGGUCAGUCAGCAUGCAGUGAUCCAGAUUUUCACUGUUGUGUAUUAUCAACCCCACAAAGAAUAACACCGGAAGAAUCUUAAUGACCUGGUUCGUAUCCAAGUACAUGGCAGAAUUGUCCAGUUCUAGACUCCGACAGUGAAAUCUUCUACAAGAUGUCACAACUACUUCAGAUCGAAAGCGCCACCAGCAGUUAGAGCCUUUCUUCAGAAUGGAAGGCAAUCUGUUUCGAUACUGAGGGCCUCGUGAAUGCCUUAGAAAUAACUCAUGGCCUACAAGAAUGGAGACUAUUUGUAGACUCUUCGAAACUGGCUGUGCUCUUGCACAAUGGAAACCGUCUUCCAUUUAUUCCAGUAGCGCACGCAGGAAAGAGAGGUACGAUAACUUAAGGCAGCUAUUGAAUUCCAUUGAGUAUAAUAAGUACAGCUAGCACUUCUGAGGUGAUUUCAAGAUUGCUGCCCUUUUAACGGGACUGCAGCAGGGACCAGCUGUGGUCGAGGCUCACAAAAUCCUACUAUACCACUCCUUCAUUAGGUUUGAUGAAGAACUUCGUGAAAGCCAUGGACCGGACUUCGCCGGCUUUCCGAUACCUACAGAAACAAUUCCCUCACUCAGCGAGGCAAAGAUUAAAGAGGGAGAUUUUGUGGGUCCUCAGAUUUGAGAGCUCUUCAAACAUGACCAGUUCAACAACUUGCUAGCAGGAUGAUAUGAAACAAGCAUCUUUCUGGCCUAGUGUCUACACACUUUCUCGGGAAUGUUAGGACAGAAAACUUACAAGUAACAGUAUCAGAAACUUGGCUGCAAUAUGUCUCUAAAGAUCAACUUCCUUCAUUCCCAUCUGGAUUUUUUUCAGGACAACUGUGGUAUGGUUAGUGAUAAACAUGGCCAACGCUUUCAUCACGAUAUCCCAACAGUGGAAAAAAGAUACCAUGGAAAAUUGCCCACUGCAAUGCUCGCUGACUACUGCUGGACAAUCCCCCAGAGAUGCUUCCUAACAUCUGUACAAGAGACAGGCAAAGAAAUCUCAGACGUAGUCGAUGACUUCAUUUGUUACAGGUAUUAACCAAAGUUCCUUUGCUAUUAGCAUGCAUUUCGUGAAGUACACUGUACUCAAUAAUUGUUGUAGAUUACACACACACAAAAACUAGAGCCAAUUAUGCAUUUUGGUUGACAUAUUCUUGUUGAGCACAUAAAUAUCGUUAAGAAAUAACUAUUUGUUUUCAGUAACAUGACUUUUGACCAGUAUAAUUGAGUCCUUGCGGUCAGAGAGUUUCAAACACUUUAUUUACAGUUCAUACAAUGGUCUCCCUCACUUGUAAAAAGCAGGAACGUUGGCAAUCGGCGACACACGCCGGAACACGAGGAACAACGACACACAGCCUUGCUGUGUUAAUGACAGGCGAUAGCCGUUGGGCCACCGGACCACUCUCCUAAUAUUAAAAGGAGUCUGUCCCCGUAUCAUUUAGAUACAUAAAAUACAUUGUGCAAAACACAAAAA
Molecule: long non-coding RNA, 10028 nt
Organism: Pomacea canaliculata
Lineage: Eukaryota; Metazoa; Mollusca; Gastropoda; Architaenioglossa; Ampullariidae
Exons: 4
Source: RefSeq, a predicted model, not a curated record